AUGGCCUUCGCCCGCCCUGCCCCUCGCCUGCUUCAGAAGCCCCCGGAAACGCCCUGGUCCGCGGCCUGGGCCGGAGCCGCCAGGGGGCUUAAGGCGUUUAUUCACACAGCACUGAUGCUAAAGAAAAGAAUUGUGGUGUAUCACCCCAAAAUAGAAGCGGUCCAGGAGUUUACCAGGACUCUGCCUGCCCUGGUGUGGCACCGAUAGGACUGGACCAUCCUUCACUCUUACCUACACCUCAACGCGGAUGAGCUGGAAGCCCUGCAGAUGUGCACAGGUUACAUCGCUGGAUUUGUAGACUUGGAGGUGAGCAACAGACCAGACCUCUAUGAUGUGUUUGUGAAUCUGGCAGAGAGUGAGAUUACCAUUGCUCCCCUUGCAAAAGAGGCCAUGGCAAUGGCCAAACUGCACAAACAAAUGGGUCAGCUAAUUGUUCAGUCUGCAGAAGAUCCAGAGAAAUCAGACAGCCAGGUGAUACAGGAUAUUGCUCUAAAAACAAGAGAAAUCUUUACCAACCCAGCACUGUUUUCAGAAGUUUUGGCUGAUGGAGAAAAGAGAGUCCUUAAUUUGGAGGCGCUAAAGCAAAAACGAUUUCCGCCAGCAACAGAAAACUUCCUUUAUCAUCUAGCAGCAGCCAAACAAAUGCUGAAAAUCUGACUGUGUGACAGAAUGUAUCACUGAUGACUGAUAGAAAGCCCUCUUUCACUGUGAUUAUCCAUUAACUACAUAAAGUCCUGAAAAUAACAGAGAAACUAUUAUAUAUUUUUAAUGAUUUAUCUGCAGGUAUUGAGAUUUGACCUGAAAAACAAUGAAACACAUGAACACACUUCUGAUUCUCUCCCAGCUGAUUAGUUUCCUGCCUGCUCUCAGUGUUGGACAAAGUGCUGUAACUACUUUAUAUAACAAUACAAAACAGCUGGAGGUCCUGGGGUAAGAGAAAAAAAGCACAUCAUGACAAAUGUGAAAGCUUUCAUUAUUACACGUUCCAGUUUGUCUCACUGUGUAGUCAUAAGCUAAUGGUUUACUUUCAGAAAGCUGCCUGAAACGUUGCUUUGUAUUCUAGGAAGAACUUUAAUUCCUCCUGAGAAACUCUACUUUCUGAGCCCAACUGCUAAGUUUUCUGUGGAACUGUCUAGAAGAUCAUUCAAGAGAGCCUGCAGUUGCACUUUCUUGUAAAAGUUAAAAAAA
Mandrillus leucophaeus (drill) is the source of this 1188-nucleotide RNA transcript. It is a transcript of the gene named protein FAM45B-like, with no coding region annotated. The record is from RefSeq and is a predicted model, not a curated record. The transcript is spliced from 2 exons. Lineage: Eukaryota; Metazoa; Chordata; Mammalia; Primates; Cercopithecidae.